Molecule: transfer RNA, 85 nt
Filed under: Pedobacter sp.
Lineage: Bacteria; Pseudomonadati; Bacteroidota; Sphingobacteriia; Sphingobacteriales; Sphingobacteriaceae
Description: tRNA-Lys
Rfam family: tRNA
About the family: Transfer RNA (tRNA) molecules are approximately 80 nucleotides in length. Their secondary structure includes four short double-helical elements and three loops (D, anti-codon, and T loops).
Source: RNAcentral
GAUUCCGUAGCUCAGCUGGUAGAGCAUUACACUUUUAAUGUAGUGGUCCUGGGUUCGAUAUCUUAUAAUCCCAGCGGGAUCACAA